GUGGGGAAUAUUGGACAAUGGGCGCAAGCCUGAUCCAGCCAUGCCGCGUGAGUGAUGAAGGCCUUAGGGUUGUAAAGCUCUUUCAGUGGGGACGAUAAUGACGGUACCCACAGAAGAAGCCCCGGCUAACUUCGUGCCAGCAGCCGCGGUAAUACGAAGGGGGCUAGCGUUGUUCGGAUUUACUGGGCGUAAAGCGCACGUAGGCGGAUCGUUAAGUCGGGGGUGAAAUCCUGGAGCUCAACUCCAGAACUGCGUUCGAAACUGGCGAUCUUGAGUCCGGAAGAGGUGAGUGGAACUCCGAGUGUAGAGGUGGAAUUCGUAGAUAUUAGGAAGAACACCAGUGGCGAAGGCGGCUCACUGGUCCGGUACUGACGCUGAGGUGCGAAAGCGUGGGGAGCAAACAGGAUUAGAAACCCGAGUAGUCC
RNAcentral lists this ribosomal RNA (425 nucleotides) under uncultured bacterium. RNAcentral describes it as "partial 16S ribosomal RNA". It matches the Rfam family "Bacterial small subunit ribosomal RNA", at positions 354 to 796 of the family's 1533-position model. The record is from RNAcentral.